This 253-nucleotide ribosomal RNA is filed under the name uncultured bacterium. RNAcentral's name for it is "partial 16S ribosomal RNA". It matches the Rfam family "Bacterial small subunit ribosomal RNA", at positions 524 to 776 of the family's 1533-position model. The record is from RNAcentral.
UACAGAGGGGGCAAGCGUUAUUCGGAAUUACUGGGCGUAAAGAGCGCGCAGGCGGUCGAUCAAGUCGAGUGUGAAAGCCCCCGGCUCAACUGGGGAGGGUCAUUCGAUACUGAUCGACUCGAAGGCAGGAGAGGGUAGUGGAAUUCCCGGUGUAGUGGUGAAAUGCGUAGAUAUCGGGAGGAACACCAGUGGCGAAGGCGACUACCUGGCCUGUUCUUGACGCUGAGGCGCGAAAGCUAGGGGAGCAAACGGG